UUAAGCCCAUUUUUUUUAAACCCACUUCAUUUAAUCUCAAAGAACUUCCACAUGCUUCCAGCUGCCAUACCACAUCGUUUAGUUAAAUAUCAUGAAGAUUAUCUACCCAUCAAUUAACCGAUAGAUCGUGUUGCAUUGGUGACAUGAUGACAAUUCAAUUCAAACUUCACUACAUUUCUAAUUCAUGAACAAACCAAUUAAGCUAACUCUAGGUAGUUCUGAUAGGAUUUACAACAAGAACUUAAUAGU
This 249-nucleotide long non-coding RNA is filed under the name Lathyrus oleraceus (garden pea). RNAcentral's name for it is "Pisum sativum (pea) long non-coding RNA (PSAT_LNC003911)". Lineage: Eukaryota; Viridiplantae; Streptophyta; Magnoliopsida; Fabales; Fabaceae. The record is from RNAcentral.